Molecule: ribosomal RNA, 397 nt
Filed under: uncultured bacterium
Lineage: Bacteria
Description: bacterial SSU rRNA
Rfam family: Bacterial small subunit ribosomal RNA
Source: RNAcentral
GACGAACGCUGGCGGCGUGCUUAACACAUGCAAGUCGAGCGGUAAGGCCCUUUCGGGGGUACGACGAGCGGCGAACGGGUGAGUAACACGUGGGUGACCUGCCCUCAGCUCUGGGAUAAGCCUGGGAAACCGGGUCUAAUACCGGAUAUGACUCCAUGACGCAUGUUGUGGGGUGGAAAGCCUUGUGCGGCUGAGGAUGGGCCCGCGGCCUAUCAGCUUGUUGGUGGGGUGAUGGCCUACCAAGGCGACGACGGGUAGCCGGCCUGAGAGGGCGACCGGCCACACUGGGACUGAGACACGGCCCAGACUCCUACGGGAGGCAGCAGUGGGGAAUCUUGCGCAACGGGCGAAAGCCUGACGCAGCGACGCCGCGUGAGGGAUGACGGCCUGGUGUAAC